CAGAGGAGCCAAGCGUUGUCCGGAUUGACUGGGCGUAAAGCGCACGCAGGCGGACGCGCGCGUGGGGUGUGAAAUCUGGCCGCUUAACGGCCAGGCGCCAUCCCAUACGGCGCGUCUGGAGUGAUGCAGAGGUCGAUGGAAUUGCCGGUGUAGUGGUGAAAUGCGUAGAGAUCGGCAGGAACACCCAGGGGGAAACCAGUCGACUGGGCAUCUACUGACGCUGAGGUGCGAGAGCGUGGGGAGCGAACCGGAUUAGAUACCCGGGUAGUCCACGCCGUAAACGAUGGCCACUCGGCCUUUGGUGACGGAACCUCCCGUCGCUGGGGGCCUUAGCUAACGCGGGAAGUGGCCCGCCUGGGAACUACGAGCGCAAGCUUA
Molecule: ribosomal RNA, 378 nt
Filed under: uncultured organism
Description: bacterial SSU rRNA
Rfam family: Bacterial small subunit ribosomal RNA
Source: RNAcentral